This 289-nucleotide signal recognition particle RNA is filed under the name Castor canadensis (American beaver). Its description in RNAcentral is "Metazoan signal recognition particle RNA (ENSCCNG00000014730.1)". It matches the Rfam family "Metazoan signal recognition particle RNA". Rfam says of the family: The signal recognition particle (SRP) is a universally conserved ribonucleoprotein. It is involved in the co-translational targeting of proteins to membranes. The eukaryotic SRP consists of a 300-nucleotide 7S RNA and six proteins: SRPs 72, 68, 54, 19, 14, and 9. Lineage: Eukaryota; Metazoa; Chordata; Mammalia; Rodentia; Castoridae. The record is from RNAcentral.
GCCAGACGCAGUGGCACAUGCCUAUACUCCUAGCUGAUAGGGAUGCUGAGGCAGGAGGAUGGGUUGAGUCCAGGAGUUCUGGGCUGAGGUGUGCUAUGCCUAUCGGGUAAGUUCGGCAACAAUAUGAUGACCUCCAGAGAGCAGGGGAUCACCAGGUUGCCUAAGGAGGGGUGAACAGGCCCAGGUUGGAAAUGGAGCAGGUCAAACUCCUGUGAUGAUCAGUAGUGGGAUUGUGCUUGUGAAUAGUCACUGCACUUUAGCCUGGGCAGCACAGUGAGACCCUGUCUCU